Meriones unguiculatus (Mongolian gerbil) is the source of this 455-nucleotide non-coding RNA. Lineage: Eukaryota; Metazoa; Chordata; Mammalia; Rodentia; Muridae. The record is from the annotation of a RefSeq genome assembly.
CCUGAAUGCCACUUUUUCUGUGAUGCUUGAAGUAAGAAUCUUCUGCAGAAACAAUAAUGUCCCCUUUAAGGGUUUCACUAGUGGUCCUCUGGCUUCAACUGAGUGGGGUGAGCGGCCAGCAGAAGGUGCAGCAGAACCCAGAAUUCCUCAGUGUCCCAGAGGGAGCCAUGGCCUCUCUCAACUGCACUUUCAGUGAUAGUGCUUCUCAGACCUUCUGGUGGUACAGACAACAUUCCGGGAAAGGCCCCCAGGCGGUGAUGUCCAUCUUCUCCAAUGGUGACAAGGAAGAAGGCAGAUUCACAGCUCACCUCAAUAGAGCCAGUCUGCAUGUUUCUCUGCACAUCAGAGACUCCCAGCCCAGUGACUCUGCUGUCUACCUCUGUGCAGUGAGCACACAGUGCUCCCCGGGCACCUGCAGCCUGCACACAAACAUACUGGGCCACAGCAAGGUCUGA